RNAcentral lists this long non-coding RNA (209 nucleotides) under Musa acuminata (dwarf banana). RNAcentral describes it as "long non-coding RNA (MACU_LNC011187)". The record is from RNAcentral. Lineage: Eukaryota; Viridiplantae; Streptophyta; Magnoliopsida; Zingiberales; Musaceae.
ACGUUGCUUUGAGCGCCUUCUUUUUUUAUGUUCUCUUCUUGGCUUGGGGACAAUCACUUUUGUAGUGUCCCAGCUUUUUGCACUCGUAGCAAAUAACUUGGUCAUUUUUGGGUUCAAGUUUAUUUUUUUUGUCACUUUUAAACUUGUUUCUCUUAAUGAAUUUUUUGAAUUUCCUUGUUAGAAGUGCCAAGUCAUCGUCACAGUCCUCA